Daphnia pulicaria is the source of this 1053-nucleotide long non-coding RNA. RefSeq lists it as uncharacterized. The record is from RefSeq and is a predicted model, not a curated record. NCBI's taxonomy places the organism in Eukaryota, Metazoa, Arthropoda, Branchiopoda, Diplostraca, Daphniidae. The transcript has 8 exons.
UAAACGACUGCUUCUUGAUAAUUAAUCAAAAGAUUUAAAGAAAGAUUUAUUUCUGAUAAUAUUCAUCUGCUUGAUGGAAUAUGGUGGAACAGUUUGUUUCUGUGUUGUAACAGGUGGUUGUAAGGAGAGCAGAGAAUUAGAACGCCCAAGAAGUAAAAACAGAGCAAGAGAAAGUUUCUUGUGUAAAAAGUCCCGCUACCCGGCUCAGUGUACUAGCUUGCAGCAAGUCGAUCGUGAAUUCGUGAUUUCUUCAUCCGACCUUCAGAAGUGCAAGUGCCAAUAUGGUAGCGCACGCAUGGAGCACGUUGCAAUUGGCGGGAGUUGGCAUUAAUUCUUAAUUUUCUAUCACACACAAGUUUGCCUGAAUUGCAAAAUAUGAAGCCCAUGUUCUGCGAACUCCAUGAUAAUCCAUAUCCAUAUGAAAACAAAGACAGACUGCCUACGGAUGUCCUGUAACUCCCCGUCAACUGCCAAUGGCCGUUCAAUGUUCCAUGUUUGGAUCUUUAAUUUACUGAAGAAAACUCCUCAAUGAACAUUCACCUUCGGAUAAGACAAGGUUGCAGUUUCGUCGCUUAAACUUCAAGUAGUUAUAAACUUCAGCUUGACUCCACAUUAUUACGGAUCUUUCACUUCUGAACUGCAAGGUGCUGAUUACUUAGAAUGUUGCUGAAUAACAAACACCUGCGGCAUCUUAAAAAUACUUCAGAAAAUGGCUCGCCAACUCUACAUUGCUCAAAACUGCAGUUAUUCUUGCGACACGAACGGCAAUAGAGGCAAUCCCCACGCUCGAAAUUACUCCGCUUAUCUGCUGGAAUUCUUCGCUGUUUAUUGGAAGUUUUUACUUCUACCAGACUUGUUGUGUUACAUGCUGGAAUAAAUCUCGCUUCCAACAGAUCAACUGUCUAUUUUUGUCAUUCACUUGACUUGAAGGUUGUCGAGUACCGCAACUGGCGAAUAAGCCAUGCCCUGUUUAUUUUUCCCAGCGUGGCAAUGUUGUGUUCCAAAAUACCGGUCUUUCCACAUUGCGUUGACAGAAAAAACAAUAUAUUUAUU